GGAGCAAUCCUGGUGGCGAGUGGCGAACGGGUGAGUAAUGUAUCGGAACGUACCUUUCAGUGGGGGAUAACGUAGCGAAAGUUACGCUAAUACCGCAUAUUCUGUGAGCAGGAAAGCAGGGGAUCGCAAGACCUUGCGCUGAUUGAGCGGCCGAUAUCAGAUUAGCUAGUUGGUGAGGUAAAGGCUCACCAAGGCGACGAUCUGUAGCGGGUCUGAGAGGAUGAUCCGCCACACUGGAACUGAGACACGGUCCAGACUCCUACGGGAGGCAGCAGUGGGGAAUUUUGGACAAUGGGGGCAACCCUGAUCCAGCCAUGCCGCGUGAGUGAAGAAGGCCUUCGGGUUGUAAAGCUCUUUCAGCCGGGAAGAAAUCACAUGGGUUAAUACCCUGUGUGGAUGACGGUACCGGAAUAAGAAGCACCGGCUAACUACGUGCCAGCAGCCGCGGUAAUACGUAGGGUGCGAGCGUUAAUCGGAAUUACUGGGCGUAAAGCGUGCGCAGGCGGUUUGUUAAGAUAGGCGUGAAAUCCCCGGGCUCAACCUGGGAACUGCGUUUAUGACUGGCAGGCUAGAGUAUGGCAGAGGGGGGUGGAAUUCCACGUGUAGCAGUGAAAUGCGUAGAGAUGUGGAGGAACACCGAUGGCGAAGGCAGCCCCCUGGGCCAAUACUGACGCUCAUGCACGAAAGCGUGGGUAGCAAACAGGAUUAGAUACCCUGGUAGUC
Molecule: ribosomal RNA, 723 nt
Filed under: uncultured bacterium
Lineage: Bacteria
Description: bacterial SSU rRNA
Rfam family: Bacterial small subunit ribosomal RNA
Source: RNAcentral